AUUGAACGCUGGCGGCAGGCUUAACACAUGCAAGUCGAGCGGUAACAGAGAGAAGCUUGCUUCUCUGCUGACGAGCGGCGGACGGGUGAGUCAUGCCUAGGAAUCUGCCUAGUAGUGGGGGAUAACUUGCCGAAAGGUAAGCUAAUACCGCAUACGUCCUACUGGAGAAAGGAGGGGACCUUCGGGCCUUUCGCUAUUAGAUGAGCCUAGGUCGGAUUAGUUAGUUGGUGAGGUAAUGGCUCACCAAGACCGCGAUCCGUAACUGGUCUGAGAGGAUGAUCAGUCACACUGGAACUGAGACACGGUCCAGACUACUACGGGAGGCAGCAGUGGGGAAUAUUGGACAAUGGGGGGGAACCCUGAUCCAGCCAUGCCGCGUGUGUGAAGAAGGUCUUAGGAUUGUAAAGCACUUUAAGUGGGGAGGAAGAGCAGUUAACUAAUAUUUGACGGUUGUGACGUUACCGACAGAAUAAGCACCGGCUAACUUCGUG
Molecule: ribosomal RNA, 491 nt
Filed under: uncultured bacterium
Lineage: Bacteria
Description: partial 16S ribosomal RNA
Rfam family: Bacterial small subunit ribosomal RNA
Source: RNAcentral